AACGAACGCUGGCGGCAUGCUUAACACAUGCAAGUCGAACGUGAUCCUUGGCCUUCGGGCUUGGGUGAAAGUAGGCGGACGGGUGAGUAACGCGUGGGAACCUGCCUGGUGGUAGGGAAUAACCGCGGGAAACUGCGGCUAAUACCCUAUGAGCCCCGGAUUUCCGUCUGGGGAAAGAUUUAUCGCCAUCGGAGGGGCCCGCGUCGGAUUAGGUAGUUAGGUGGGGUAACGGCCUACCAAGCCUACGAUCCGUAGCUGGUCUGAGAGGAUGAUCAGCCACACUGGGACUGAGAUACGGCCCAGACUCCUACGGGAGGCAGCAGGUGGGGAAUAUUGGACAAUGGGCGCAAGCCUGAUCCAGCAAUGCCGCGUGAGUG
This 377-nucleotide ribosomal RNA is filed under the name uncultured bacterium. RNAcentral describes it as "bacterial SSU rRNA". It matches the Rfam family "Bacterial small subunit ribosomal RNA", at positions 29 to 407 of the family's 1533-position model. The record is from RNAcentral.